RNAcentral lists this small nuclear RNA (116 nucleotides) under Solanum tuberosum (potato). RNAcentral's name for it is "snRNA U5". It matches the Rfam family "U5 spliceosomal RNA". From Rfam's summary of the family: U5 RNA is a component of both types of known spliceosome. The precise function of this molecule is unknown, though it is known that the 5' loop is required for splice site selection and p220 binding, and that both the 3' stem-loop and the Sm site are important for Sm protein binding and cap methylation. Lineage: Eukaryota; Viridiplantae; Streptophyta; Magnoliopsida; Solanales; Solanaceae. The record is from RNAcentral.
AGCCACACGAUGAACACGUAUCGAACUAUUCUUUUGCCUUUUACUAAAGAAUGUCGUGAAUGUAUUGCAAAUAGUGGCAUACAUCAAUUUUUGGAGGGAUUCUCUUCACUGAAGAU